AUUGAACGCUGGCGGCAUGCCUUACACAUGCAAGUCGAACGGUAGAGGGGGCAACCCCUCGAGAGUGGCGAACGGGUGAGUAAUAUAUCGGAACGUGCCCAGUCGUGGGGAUAACGUAGCGAAAGUUACGCUAAUACCGCAUACGAUCUAAGGAUGAAGGCGGGGGAUCGCAAGACCUCGCGCGAUUGGAGCGGCCGAUAUCAGAUUAGGUAGUUGGUGGGGUAAAGGCUCACAAAGCCAACGAUCUGUAGCUGGUCUGAGAGGACGACCAGCCACACUGGAACUGAGACACGGUCCAGACUCCUACGGGAGGCAGCAGUGGGGAAUUUUGGACAAUGGGCGCAAGUCUGAUCCAGCCAUUCCGCGUGCAGGAUGAAGGCCCUCGGGUUGUAAACUGCUUUUGUACGGAACGAAAAGGUCUCUCUUAAUACGGGGGGCUCAUGACGGUACCGUAAGAAUAAGCACCGGCUAACUACGUGCCAGCCGCCGCCGUAA
RNAcentral lists this ribosomal RNA (495 nucleotides) under uncultured bacterium. RNAcentral's name for it is "partial 16S ribosomal RNA". It matches the Rfam family "Bacterial small subunit ribosomal RNA", at positions 30 to 523 of the family's 1533-position model. The record is from RNAcentral.